This 1496-nucleotide long non-coding RNA is filed under the name Olea europaea (common olive). RNAcentral's name for it is "long non-coding RNA (OEUR_LNC011889)". The record is from RNAcentral. Lineage: Eukaryota; Viridiplantae; Streptophyta; Magnoliopsida; Lamiales; Oleaceae.
AUGAAUUCAUUACAAAUUACAUAUAGGAAAAUGCUGUGUGCACCAUUCAUUACCCCCCCCCCCCCUCACAUGGAGGUGGGGUCCACACACAAUAAAAUAUUCGUGGCCCCUUUCCAUGUGAGAGGGGUGUAAUGCAUUGUGUACACCUCAUAGUGUACAAAUAGCAUUUCCCUUACAUAUAAUACAAUUUAUAAUGAUGCUAAUAAUCAAGUUUAACUUCUUUUUCUUUUAGUACACAGUAUGCAAAACAAGGUUGUCGUCUCUCCAAGAGCCUGAUUAAUCGACUUAGCCUACUCAAGUGCCGAUUGGGCCAAUUCUCUGCAUACUCAAUAGUACUUUGAGUACCCCUCUCAACCUCCUGGUAAGCAAUUAAAUCUACUAAAUAUUGAUGUCAUUGGAUGCUCAAUAUCUUCUUCAAGAUUUAAACACCUCUUUACCUAUUAAAUCAUAGAUGUAAUGUCUCUCGUCCAGCAGGAAUUGACAUCUUCAAUCAUAUCUUUGCGUGCUUCAAUAAUUUCUUCGAUUUCUAGGGUGGAGGUAGGGGGUCGGAGAAGGGUGAUAUAAUAUAAUUCAUCUUAAUUUUAAUUGAUUUCAUUACGAAGAUAAAACUCUACUUUUACAGCUUUGUAUAUAUGUAUAACACUAAUAUUCACCACGUGGAAUAUAUUUUUCCAGUAUCUGGAACUUCAAUAUAUUUGUGCUCUUUACAUUUUUCCAGUGAUGAUACACGAGAUUUACAUGCAAAAAGGAAAAAUAAGGUAGUCACUUACAAUUAAAAGAUUGGCCGACAAAUCUUCCUUGUUGAUGAUGCAAAACCCUUGGUUAGUGUCACGUAGCCAAAUCUUCCUUGCUGAUGAUGCAAAACCCUUUGUUAGUGUCACGUAUUCAAAGACUCGUUAAUUUGGUGGUUCACCACUGCUCAAGCUUGUCCCAACUGCAUCAACUGAGUUUUAAGGCUAUAUUCUUCAACCUGCUAUAGGUCAAAUAUUAAUUAUAUGAAGCAGCUAUUGCAUAUACCAAUCAUUAAAUAAUAUAAAGAAUACAAGAUGAAAGUACUUGCUUUCAGUUGUACUCAAAACCAACAAAUUUAAGAAAUGGAUAAUCAAACACAAUAAUUUACGAAUAAGUUGGUUUAACAUUCAAUAUACCUUGAGAAUAUCUGAUGACAAAUAAAGCACAAAAAUGAUGAACAGCAAUCGAAAAAAAGAAACACAAAUUUUCAAGGAGCACAAAAUUAUAAUUUAUAAUCAAGAUACAUGUUGUCCUUUCGGUUUACACUAUUCUGUUGUGUAAAUAUCUCAACAUUUAUUUCCUAGUUUCCUUUUCUCCUUGGAAGAAGUUUCUACAGGUUACUGAGCCUAUAGCUUAAUACAUUCAGAAUAUAUCAGAAAUGGGUGUUCAACCAGUUGAAAAGGUGAGUUUAAUUUGCCUCUCUUCUUUAAAUGGGAUUAAAAGAAAAUAUUUAGAUAAAGAGAGAUCUAGAAAGACAGAGACGU